This 379-nucleotide ribosomal RNA is filed under the name uncultured soil bacterium. RNAcentral describes it as "bacterial SSU rRNA". It matches the Rfam family "Bacterial small subunit ribosomal RNA", at positions 26 to 396 of the family's 1533-position model. The record is from RNAcentral.
AGGACGAACGCUGGCGGCGUGCUUAACACAUGCAAGUCGAGCGGUAAGGCCUUUCGGGGUACACGAGCGGCGAACGGGUGAGUAACACGUGGGUGAUCUGCCCUGCACUCUGGGAUAAGCCUGGGAAACUGGGUCUAAUACCGGAUAUGACCUGCUCUCGCAGUGGGGGGUGGGUGGAAAGUAUUUUAUCGGUGCAGGGAUGGGCCCGCGGCCUAUCAGCUUGGUUGGUGGGGUAAUGGCCUACCGAAGGCGACGACGGGUAGCCGACCUGAGAGGAUGAUCAGCCACACUGGGACUGAGACACGGCCAGACUCCGACGGGAGCAGCAGGUAGGGAAUAGUGGAACAAGUGGGACGAAAGCCUAGACUCCGAGCAAUCG